AGUCACGUGGUCUAAUGGUUAUGAUUUCUCGCUCACAGCAAGUGCAAGUGGGAGUUCCUCCCAAGCGCCGAGAAGGUUCCCGGUUCGAUCCCGGGCGUGACUA
Non-coding RNA from Aspergillus ellipticus CBS 707.79, 103 nucleotides. The record is from the annotation of a GenBank genome assembly. NCBI's taxonomy places the organism in Eukaryota, Fungi, Ascomycota, Eurotiomycetes, Eurotiales, Aspergillaceae.